RNAcentral lists this transfer RNA (66 nucleotides) under Soliperla sp. ZTC-2018. RNAcentral's name for it is "tRNA-Leu". Lineage: Eukaryota; Metazoa; Arthropoda; Insecta; Plecoptera; Peltoperlidae. The record is from RNAcentral.
UUUACUUUGGCAGAUAAGUGUAAUGGAUUUAGGAUCCAUGAAUGUAAAUAUAUUUUACAAGUAAAA